This 310-nucleotide ribosomal RNA is filed under the name uncultured bacterium. Its description in RNAcentral is "bacterial SSU rRNA". It matches the Rfam family "Bacterial small subunit ribosomal RNA", at positions 28 to 334 of the family's 1533-position model. The record is from RNAcentral.
GAUGAACGCUGGCGGCGCGCCUAACACAUGCAAGUCGAACGGCACCCACCUCCGGGUGGAAGCGAGUGGCGAACGGCUGAGUAACACGUGGAGAACCUGCCCCCUCCCCCGGGAUAAUUUCUGGAAACGGAAACUAAAACCGGAUAGGUAGGGAUCUCGCAUGAGGACCUUAUUAAAGGGGCUACGGUCCUGAACAUGGAUGGACCUGCGGUGCAUUAGCUAGUUGGUGGGAUAACGGCCUACCAAGGCGACGAUGCAUAGCCGACCUGAGAGGGCGAACGGCCACAUUGGGGACUGAGACACGGCCCAA